CAGCCGCCACGGGAAUACGAAGGGGGCUAGCGUUGUUCGGAAUUACUGGGCGUAAAGCGCACGUAGGCGGACAUUUAAGUCAGGGGUGAAAUCCCGGGGCUCAACCCCGGAACUGCCUUUGAUACUGGGUGUCUAGAGUAUGGAAGAGGUGAGUGGAAUUCCGAGUGUAGAGGUGAAAUUCGUAGAUAUUCGGAGGAACACCAGUGGCGAAGGCGGCUCACUGGUCCAUUACUGACGCUGAGGUGCGAAAGCGUGGGGAGCAAACAGGAUUAGAUACCCGGGUAGUCCCUGUCUCUUAUAC
Molecule: ribosomal RNA, 301 nt
Filed under: uncultured bacterium
Lineage: Bacteria
Description: partial 16S ribosomal RNA
Rfam family: Bacterial small subunit ribosomal RNA
Source: RNAcentral